GACGAACGCUGGCGGCGUGCUUAACACAUGCAAGUCGAACGGAAAGGCCCUGCUUGCAGGGUACUCGAGUGGCGAACGGGUGAGUAACACGUGGGUGAUCUGCCCUGCACUUCGGGAUAAGCUUGGAAACUGGGUCUAAUACCGGAUAGGAGCCAUCUUUAGUGUGGUGGUUGGAAAGUUUUUUCGGUGUAGGAUGAGCUCGCGGCCUAUCAGCUUGUUGGUGGGGUAAUGGCCUACCAAGGCGGCGACGGGUAGCCGGCCUGAGAGGGUGUACGGCCACAUUGGGACUGAGAUACGGCCCAGACUCCUACGGGAGGCAGCAGUGGGGAAUAUUGCACAAUGGGCGCAAGCCUGAUGCAGCGACGCCGCGUGGGGGAUGAAGGCCUUCGGGUUGUAAACUCCUUUCGCUAGGGACGAAGCUUUUUUGUGACGGUACCUAGAUAAGAAGCACCGGCUAACUACGUG
RNAcentral lists this ribosomal RNA (465 nucleotides) under uncultured bacterium. RNAcentral describes it as "partial 16S ribosomal RNA". It matches the Rfam family "Bacterial small subunit ribosomal RNA", at positions 28 to 507 of the family's 1533-position model. The record is from RNAcentral.